RNAcentral lists this transfer RNA (63 nucleotides) under Crataraea suturalis. RNAcentral's name for it is "tRNA-Cys". Lineage: Eukaryota; Metazoa; Arthropoda; Insecta; Coleoptera; Staphylinidae. The record is from RNAcentral.
AGUUUUAUAGUCAAUUAAUGAUUUUAGAUUGCAAAUCUAAAGAUGAACUUAGUUCUAAGGCUU